RNAcentral lists this ribosomal RNA (425 nucleotides) under uncultured bacterium. RNAcentral describes it as "partial 16S ribosomal RNA". It matches the Rfam family "Bacterial small subunit ribosomal RNA", at positions 354 to 796 of the family's 1533-position model. The record is from RNAcentral.
GUUAGGAAUAUUGGACAAUGGGCGCAAGCCUGAUCCAGCCAUGCCGCGUGAACGAUGAAGGCCUUCGGGUUGUAAAGUUCUUUAGCCGAUGAUUAUAAUGACUGUAGUCGGAAAAUAAGCCCCGGCUAACUUCGUGCCAGCAGCCGCGGUAAUACGAAGGGGGCGUGCGUUAUUCGGAAUCACUGGGCGUAAAGCGUGCGUAGGCGGUUUUGUAAGUUAGGAGUGAAAGCCCAGGGCUCAACCUUGGAAUUGCUCUUAAAACUGCAAGGCUCGAAUCUCGGAGAGGAUAGCGGAAUUUCCAGUGUAGCAGUGAAAUGCGUAGAUAUUGGAAGGAACACCAGUGGCGUAAGCGGCUAUCUGGACGAGUAUUGACGCUGAGGCACGAAAGCGUGGGGAUCAAACAGGAUUAGAUACCCUAGUAGUCC